RNAcentral lists this ribosomal RNA (674 nucleotides) under uncultured archaeon. RNAcentral's name for it is "bacterial SSU rRNA". It matches the Rfam family "Archaeal small subunit ribosomal RNA", at positions 248 to 921 of the family's 1478-position model. The record is from RNAcentral.
UUCACCAAGCCUUUUUACCGUGCGGCCCCGUGAGAGCGAGACCCCGGAGAUGGCCACUGAGACAAGGCCCAUGCCCUACUGGGGCGCACCACUCGUGAAAACUUUCACAUCCCCGAAAGUGUGACAGGGCUAUCCCGAGUGCCAUCCGCUGAGGAAGGCUUUUCCCCACUCUAGACCGCUGGGGGAAUAAGGAGAGGCCAAGUCUGGUGUCACCCGCCGCGGUAAUACCAGCUCUCCGAGUGGUGUGGAUGUUUAUUGGCCCUAAAGCAUCCGUACCUGGCUAAGUUAGUCCCUUGUUAAAUCCACCGAAUUAAUCGUUGGAUCGCGGGGGAUACUGCUUGGCUAGGGGCCGAGAGAGGCAGCCGGUAUUUUCGGGGUAGGGGUGAAAUCCUAUAAUCCCGGGAAGACCCCCACGUGGCGAAGGCUGUCUGCUAGAACGCGCCCGCCGCGUGAGGGAUGAAAGCUGGGGGAGCGAACCGGAUUAGAUACCCGGGUAGUCCCAGCUGUAAACGAUGCAGGCUAGGUGUUUGGACGGCCACGUGCCGUUCUAGUGCCGCAGGGAAGCUGUUAAGCCUGCCGCCUGGGGAGUACGAUCGCAAGAUUGAAACUUAAAGGGAUUGGCGGGGGAGCACCACAAGGGGUGAAGCUUGCGGUUUAAUUGGAUUCAACGCCGG